RNAcentral lists this unclassified non-coding RNA (134 nucleotides) under uncultured fungus. RNAcentral describes it as "sequence contains ITS1". Lineage: Eukaryota; Fungi. The record is from RNAcentral.
AUCUUUUUUUAAUUUUUACAUAUAAUUAAUAUUAUUUGAAGAGUGGGUUUUAAAUAUAAACGAUCGCAAAACCUUGCGCUAACGCUCGGUUUGCUAUAUCAUUAAUGAUCCUUCCGCAGGUUCACCUACGGAAA